This 253-nucleotide ribosomal RNA is filed under the name uncultured bacterium. RNAcentral's name for it is "partial 16S ribosomal RNA". It matches the Rfam family "Bacterial small subunit ribosomal RNA", at positions 524 to 776 of the family's 1533-position model. The record is from RNAcentral.
UACGGGGGGUGCGAGCGUUGUCCGGAAUCACUGGGCGUAAAGGGCGCGUAGGUGGCGUCGUACGUCUGUGGUGAAAGCUCGGAGCUCAACUCCGGGUCUGCCGCGGAUACUGCGAGGCUUGAGUGCUGUAGAGGGGGGUAGAAUGCCGGGUGUAGCGGUGGAAUGCGUAGAGAUCCGGCAGAAGACCGGUGGCGAAGGCGGCCCCCUGGGCAGUAACUGACACUGAGGCGCGACAGCGUGGGGAGCAAACAGG